ACCCGGAUGGCGAAAUCGGUAGACGCGAGGGACUUAAAAUCCCUGGACCGCAAGGUCGUGUGGGUUCGAGUCCCACUCCGGGUA
This 84-nucleotide transfer RNA is filed under the name Gemmatimonadota bacterium. RNAcentral describes it as "tRNA-Leu". It matches the Rfam family "tRNA". From Rfam's summary of the family: Transfer RNA (tRNA) molecules are approximately 80 nucleotides in length. Lineage: Bacteria; Pseudomonadati; Gemmatimonadota. The record is from RNAcentral.